Molecule: ribosomal RNA, 890 nt
Filed under: uncultured bacterium
Lineage: Bacteria
Description: bacterial SSU rRNA
Rfam family: Bacterial small subunit ribosomal RNA
Source: RNAcentral
AGAGUUUGAUCCUGGCUCAGGACAAACGCUGGCGGCGUGCCUAACACAUGCAAGUCGUACGUCCUCUUGGAGUUCGCUUCAAGAGGGAGUGGCGGACGGGUGAGGAACACGUGGGAACCUGCCCACCGGUGAGGAAUACCGGCGAGAAAUCGCUGACAAGACCGCAUACGCUUCGCAAGAAGCAAAGCUCUCCGCACGGGGAGCGCCUGUGGAGGGGCCUGCGUCCGAUUAGCUAGCCGGUGGGGUAAUGGCUCACCAGGGCGACGAUCGGUAGCUGGUCUGAGAGGAUGAGCAGCCACACUGGGAUUGAGAACGGCCCAGACUCCUACGGGAGGCAGCAGUGAGGAAUUUUCCGCAAUGGGGGCAACCCUGACGGAGCAACGCCGCGUGCAGGAAGACGGCCUUCGGGUUGUAAACUGCUUUUCUCAGGGAAGAGGAUGGACGGUACCUGAGGAAGAAGCCCCGGCUUACUACGUGCCAGCAGCCGCGGUAAUACGUAGGGGGCGAGCGUUGUCCGGAUUUACUGGGCGUAAAGCGCGUGCAGGCGGUUCAACAAGUUCAGAGUGACAGUCACCAGCCUAACUGGUGAAGGGUUCUGAAAACGAUUGGACUGGAGAGCGAGAGAGGGACCUGGAACUCCGGGUGGAGCGGUGAAAUGCAUAGAGAUCCGGAAGAACACCACUGGCGAAGGCAGGGUCCUGGCUCGUAUCUGACGCUCAGACGCGAAAGCAAGGGGAGCGAACGGGAUUAGAUACCCCGGUAGUCCUUGCCGUAAACGAUGACCACCAGGCGUAGGAGGGAUCGACCCCUUCUGUGCCGCCUCUCACGAACUAAGUGGUCCGCCUGGGGAGUACGGUCGCAAGAUUAAAACUCAAAGGAAUUGGCGGGGG